This 74-nucleotide transfer RNA is filed under the name Physiculus nematopus (charcoal mora). RNAcentral's name for it is "tRNA-Lys". It matches the Rfam family "tRNA". Rfam says of the family: Transfer RNA (tRNA) molecules are approximately 80 nucleotides in length. Their secondary structure includes four short double-helical elements and three loops (D, anti-codon, and T loops). Lineage: Eukaryota; Metazoa; Chordata; Actinopteri; Gadiformes; Moridae. The record is from RNAcentral.
CACUAAGAAGCUUACAUGAUUUAAGCGCCAGCCUUUUAAGCUGGAGACCGGUGAUUAUCAACCACCCUUAGUGA